UUGCAAUGAUGAAGGUUCCAAAACCAUUCGUAGUUUCCACCAGAGGUUGAAAAAAACCAAUGUUGGCUUAAAUUACCUUCCUUGGAUGUCUGAGCGA
Molecule: small nucleolar RNA, 97 nt
Organism: Pseudonaja textilis
Lineage: Eukaryota; Metazoa; Chordata; Lepidosauria; Squamata; Elapidae
Gene: SNORD14
Rfam family: Small nucleolar RNA SNORD14
About the family: U14 small nucleolar RNA (U14 snoRNA) is required for early cleavages of eukaryotic precursor rRNAs. In yeasts, this molecule possess a stem-loop region (known as the Y-domain) which is essential for function.
Source: Ensembl